RNAcentral lists this unclassified non-coding RNA (434 nucleotides) under Hevea brasiliensis (rubber tree). The record is from RNAcentral. Lineage: Eukaryota; Viridiplantae; Streptophyta; Magnoliopsida; Malpighiales; Euphorbiaceae.
AAAACUAGCAGAGAAUGUGAGUGUGAUUUUGAAAAUAAUACAGUGCCUCUUUGAAUUUAUUUUCAUUUUUCUACACUACUAUCAGAAAUUAGUAGAUCAAGACAAAAUAUGCUCUUACACACUCUAUAAUAUGUUUGGUUUGGACAGAAUAAAUUUGUCAGUAGAUAAUGUUAAUGAAAAUGUAAAGAUAGAAGUCACCAGAAAUAACUUAGGUGUAAUAAGAAUAUGUAUGGUGCAAAGAGAGUGAAAAAAAGGCUAGUUUUGAUGACUUUUAUGUAAGAAUGUUAAUGUUACAUUCUCAAAUUGGGGGACUGUAUGAUUUGGAAAAGGUAGGCAAGUGAGGUUUAACUUAGAAAUGAUGCCUAGUUAACUACAUGUGCAAUGCCAUCUCUGGAUGUGAUUUCCCCUGUUUAAACAUGCAUUGUAUAGGAAUG